This 229-nucleotide unclassified non-coding RNA is filed under the name plant metagenome. RNAcentral describes it as "partial contains small subunit ribosomal RNA, internal transcribed spacer 1, and 5.8S ribosomal RNA". The record is from RNAcentral.
UCUCCGUAGGUGAACCUGCGGAGGGAUCAUUACAGAGUUCAUGCCCUACCGGGUAGAUCUCCCACCCUAUGUUAUUAUUACUUUGUUGCUUUGGCGGGCCGUUAGGCUCCGGCCCGACUACCGGCCCCGGCUGGUAAGCGCCCGCCAGAGGACCCAAAACCCUGAAUAUUACUGUCGUCUGAGUACUAUAUAAUAGUUAAAACUUUCAACAACGGAUCUCUUGGUUCUG